Molecule: ribosomal RNA, 423 nt
Filed under: uncultured bacterium
Lineage: Bacteria
Description: bacterial SSU rRNA
Rfam family: Bacterial small subunit ribosomal RNA
Source: RNAcentral
AGGGACGAAUACUGACGGUACCUCCCAAGAAAGCACCGGCUAACUCCGUGCCAGCAGCCGCGGUAAUACGGAGGGUGCAAGCGUUGCUCGGAAUUACUGGGCGUAAAGCGUACGCAGGCGGUCUGAUAAGGUCGGGUGUGAAAGCCCCAGGCUCAACCUGGGAACUGCAUCCGAAACUGCCAGACUUGAGUUCGGGAGAGGGAAAGUGGAAUUCCUGGUGUAGAGGUGAAAUUCGUUGAUAUCAGGAGGAACACCGGCGGCGAAAGCGGCUUCCUGGCCCGAUACUGACGCUCAUGUACGAAAGCGUGGGGAGCAAACAGGAUUAGAUACCCUGGUAGUCCACGCCGUAAACGAUGAGUGCUAGAUGUUGGAGGUAUUCACCCCUUCAGUGUCGAAGCUAACGCAUUAAGCACUCCGCCUGGG